This 813-nucleotide ribosomal RNA is filed under the name Alternaria radicina. RNAcentral's name for it is "LSU rRNA". It matches the Rfam family "Eukaryotic large subunit ribosomal RNA", at positions 76 to 907 of the family's 3401-position model. The record is from RNAcentral. RNAcentral also lists the same sequence under 1 other name. Lineage: Eukaryota; Fungi; Ascomycota; Dothideomycetes; Pleosporales; Pleosporaceae.
UGCCCUAGUAACGGCGAGUGAAGCGGCAACAGCUCAAAUUUGAAAUCUGGCUCUUUUAGAGUCCGAGUUGUAAUUUGCAGAGGGCGCUUUGGCUUUGGCAGCGGUCCAAGUUCCUUGGAACAGGACGUCACAGAGGGUGAGAAUCCCGUACGUGGUCGCUGGCUAUUGCCGUGUAAAGCCCCUUCGACGAGUCGAGUUGUUUGGGAAUGCAGCUCUAAAUGGGAGGUACAUUUCUUCUAAAGCUAAAUAUUGGCCAGAGACCGAUAGCGCACAAGUAGAGUGAUCGAAAGAUGAAAAGCACUUUGGAAAGAGAGUCAAACAGCACGUGAAAUUGUUGAAAGGGAAGCGCUUGCAGCCAGACUUGCUUGCAGUUGCUCAUCCGGGCUUUUGCCCGGUGCACUCUUCUGUAGGCAGGCCAGCAUCAGUUUGGGCGGUAGGAUAAAGGUCUCUGUCACGUACCUCCUUUCGGGGAGGCCUUAUAGGGGAGACGACAUACUACCAGCCUGGACUGAGGUCCGCGCAUCUGCUAGGAUGCUGGCGUAAUGGCUGUAAGCGGCCCGUCUUGAAACACGGACCAAGGAGUCUAACAUCUAUGCGAGUGUUUGGGUGUCAAGCCCGAGCGCGUAAUGAAAGUGAACGGAGGUGGGAACCCGCAAGGGUGCACCAUCGACCGAUCCUGAUGUCUUCGGAAGGAUUUGAGUAAGAGCAUGGCUGUUGGGACCCGAAAGAUGGUGAACUAUGCUUGAAUAGGGUGAAGCCAGAGGAAACUCUGGUGGAGGCUCGCAGCGGUUCUGACGUGCAAAUCGAUCGUCA